RNAcentral lists this ribosomal RNA (322 nucleotides) under uncultured eukaryote. RNAcentral's name for it is "partial 18S ribosomal RNA". It matches the Rfam family "Eukaryotic small subunit ribosomal RNA", at positions 1470 to 1796 of the family's 1831-position model. The record is from RNAcentral.
CCCUUAGAUGUUCUGGGCCGCACGCGUGCUACACUGAGUGGAUCAGCGGGUUAGGUUGCGCGAAAGUGUUUCCUAAUCUUGAAAUCCGCUCGUGAUGGGGAUUGACGGUUGCAAUUUUCCGUCAUGAACGAGGAAUACCUUGUAAGCGCGGGUCAUCAUCCCGCGCUGAAUACGUCCCUGCCCUUUGUACACACCGCCCGUCGCUCCUACCGAUUGAGUGGUCCGGUGAGGCUUUGGGAUCUGAGCGGAAAGAGCGUUUCGCUGUUUCUGCUCGGAAAACUCAGUCGAACCUUAUCAUUUAGAGGAAGGAGAAGUCGUAACA